Molecule: long non-coding RNA, 1089 nt
Filed under: Oryctolagus cuniculus (rabbit)
Lineage: Eukaryota; Metazoa; Chordata; Mammalia; Lagomorpha; Leporidae
Description: lncRNA (ENSOCUG00000034787.1)
Source: RNAcentral
AUGUGUGUGAUGGGUCCAGGGCGUCCUCCAGUGGGCCUCAUGAUCCAGAAACUUGCUUGGGAGCGUGUGAGUGCCAGAGGGGCCCCCUGCUGGAAGGAGCGCUUGUGCACAGCAGGGGUCCUCAGACGGCUCAGGUCUCUCCUUUGCUGUUGCCAGGGGCUCCUUUCUGAUUUCGUCUCCAUCCAGCGCCACGGAGAAGGAAGAACGCGCCACAAGCAGACAUGCUGUCGAGGCCUGUGGUGCAGGCGGCUUCGUCGCCAGCUGCCUUUUCCUGCUGGCUUGUUAGUGGAGGCCGUUGCAGCACCUGGGGACUUGCCCGGAGCUCUAGGGUAUACCUUGGGGAGAGCACACAUCAGCCUGUCUGACCAGUCACCGUUCUGCUUGGGGCAGGUGUCAAAUACUGUGUCUGGAGAUGCCCAAGAGGCUCAAGGGAGUAAUGCUGGGGUUUGGGUGCUGUCCCAAGGGGAAAUCCCACAAGGUUCCAGGGUCUGGGGAAACGAAGCGUGCAUGGCUGGAUCUGGAUCUCUCUACAGUUAGGUUGGGUUGGGUUGCAGGGGACCUUGGGUGGCCUUCAGACCUCGGAGACCUCACAUCCCCGAUCUCCAAGGACCUGCUCUUGGACCCUCCACAGCUCAUCUGCAUGGUCAGUGUUUGUCACUCUUCUGCACUUACCCUCAGUGGGCUCCUCUGUCAGCUGGAAGACUGUGGGGGACAUGGACCAAGUCUACUCCAUCCUGCUCACCCACAGUGCCUUGUCUGUCUGCUGCCAGGCACGCAUGUUGGUUGAGCUGCAACCGCAGUUGGGCCACCUGCCCUAGCUUUGCAGUCAUGGCUCCAUAACCUGUCCUGUGGCUGCCUGUGGAGGAAGAAGAAGAAAAAUGAAUCCUAGUGACUUGGUGGGUUGAAGAGGUUCCAGAUCUCUCGCUCACGUCAAGCUUGGGCUGUGUGGACUGGAUAAUGCACGCUGCCAGCGAGCCUGGGCUUGCCCAGGACUGGGAGCAGGGGAGAAGGGAGAGCAAUGUUGUCACUUUAAUUGCAUUGGCAUAAAUAUUUGAUAUUCAAUAAAUUAGAUCUGGAGCAAGGAAAACA